RNAcentral lists this long non-coding RNA (270 nucleotides) under Pongo abelii (Sumatran orangutan). Its description in RNAcentral is "lincRNA". Lineage: Eukaryota; Metazoa; Chordata; Mammalia; Primates; Hominidae. The record is from RNAcentral.
GAGCUACAUGGAUUUGGACUCUUAUCCUCACUAGAAGAGAGGAGAGCACCCAAUGGAAAGGAGGAGAGCAACCAAAGUCUAAGCUAAGAGCAUAGUUUCACAAAGUAUGUCCUCUGGCAUUCAUAGUUUUUGUGGACACACCUGGUACCUGAAAAAAACAAUCUGAAUAUCCAAAACAUCAUUCACUGUUAAAUCCAGGAAACAUCCUUGGAUUUGGAAAUUAUGGAAGGAGGAAUUAUUAUUGGAACUGUACUGAACCUUUAGUUCAAU